GUUGGGGAUAUAGCUUAGUUGGUAGAGUGUUGGCCUCACAUGCACAGGCCCUGGGUUUGAUCCCCAGCAACA
Molecule: transfer RNA, 72 nt
Filed under: Marmota monax (woodchuck)
Lineage: Eukaryota; Metazoa; Chordata; Mammalia; Rodentia; Sciuridae
Description: tRNA.Val
Source: RNAcentral